RNAcentral lists this ribosomal RNA (614 nucleotides) under Lasiodiplodia viticola. Its description in RNAcentral is "eukaryotic LSU rRNA". It matches the Rfam family "Eukaryotic large subunit ribosomal RNA", at positions 38 to 667 of the family's 3401-position model. Lineage: Eukaryota; Fungi; Ascomycota; Dothideomycetes; Botryosphaeriales; Botryosphaeriaceae. The record is from RNAcentral.
GCAUAUCAAUAAGCGGAGGAAAAGAAACCAACAGGGAUUGCCUUAGUAACGGCGAGUGAAGCGGCAACAGCUCAAAUUUGAAAGCUGGCCCUUUUAGGGUCCGCGUUGUAAUUUGUAGAGGAUGAUUCGGCGAGGGCUCCUGCCUAAGUCCCCUGGAACGGGGCGUCAUAGAGGGUGAGAAUCCCGUAUGCGGUAGGUUGCCUUAGCCGUGUGAAUCUCCUUCGACGAGUCGAGUUGUUUGGGAAUGCAGCUCUAAAUGGGAGGUAAAUUUCUUCUAAAGCUAAAUACCGGCCAGAGACCGAUAGCGCACAAGUAGAGUGAUCGAAAGAUGAAAAGCACUUUGGAAAGAGAGUUAAAAAGUACGUGAAAUUGUUGAAAGGGAAGCGCUUGCAACCAGACUUGUCCGCAGUUGCUCAGCCGGUCUCCUGACCGGCGUACUCUUCUGCGGCCAGGCCAGCAUCAGUUCGGGCGGUCGGAUAAAGGCCUCGGGAAUGUAGCUCCUCUCGGGGAGUGUUAUAGCCCGGGGUGGAAUGCGGCCAGCCUGGACUGAGGAUCUCGCUUCGGCAAGGAUGCUGGCGUAAUGGUUGUAAGCGGCCCGUCUUGAAACACGGACC